CGGCUAACUCCGUGCCAGCAGCCGCGGUAAUACGGAGGGUGCAAGCGUUAUUCGGAAUCACUGGGCGUAAGGGACACGUAGGCGGGAAGCCAAGUCUGAUGUGAAAUCCUACAGCUUAACUGUAGAACUGCAUUGGAAACUGGCUACCUAGAGUAUGGGAGGGGGAGAUGGAAUUAGUGGUGUAGGGGUAAAAUCCGUAGAUAUCACUAGGAAUACCUAAAGCGAAGGCGAUCUCCUGGAACAAUACUGACGCUAAGGUGUGAAAGCGUGGGGAGCAAACGGGAUUAGAUACCCCGGUAGUCCACGCCCUAAACGAUGUUCACUAGUCGUCGGAAUGCUAGUCAUUUCGGUGAUGCACUUAACAGAUUAAGUGAACCGCCUGGGGAGUACGGUCGCAAGAUUAAAACUCAAAGGAAUAGACGGGGACCCGCACAAGUGGUGGAGCAUGUGGUUUAAUUCGAAGGUACGCGAAGAACCUUACCUAGCCUUGACAUUGAUUGAAUAGACCAGAGAUGGACUAGUGCCCUUCGGGGAACAUGAAAACAGGUGCUGCACGGCUGUCGUCAGCUCGUGUCGUGAGAUGUUGGGUUAAGUCCCGCAACGAGCGCAACCCUCGUCCUUAGUUGCCAGCAGGUUAAGCUGGGCACUUUAANGAGACUGNCUUCGCAAGGAGGAGGAAAGUGAGGACGACGUCAAGUCAUCAUGGCCCUUAUGGCUAGGGCUACACACGUGCUACAAUGGGGCGUACAGANUGNUGCGAUACCGCGAGGUGGNNCUAAUCACUUAAAGCGUCUCUCAGUUCGGA
RNAcentral lists this ribosomal RNA (805 nucleotides) under uncultured Campylobacterota bacterium. RNAcentral describes it as "bacterial SSU rRNA". It matches the Rfam family "Bacterial small subunit ribosomal RNA", at positions 494 to 1297 of the family's 1533-position model. Lineage: Bacteria; Pseudomonadati; Campylobacterota. The record is from RNAcentral.